CUGGCUCAGGACGAACGCUGGCGGCGUGCCUAAUACAUGCAAGUCGAGCGAACAGAGAAGGAGCUUGCUCCUUCGACGUUAGCGGCGGACGGGUGAGUAACACGUGGGCAACCUACCUUAUAGUUUGGGAUAACUCCGGGAAACCGGGGCUAAUACCGAAUAAUCUGUUU
RNAcentral lists this ribosomal RNA (170 nucleotides) under Lysinibacillus fusiformis. RNAcentral describes it as "16S rRNA. Bacterial SSU". It matches the Rfam family "Bacterial small subunit ribosomal RNA", at positions 19 to 183 of the family's 1533-position model. The record is from RNAcentral. Lineage: Bacteria; Bacillati; Bacillota; Bacilli; Caryophanales; Bacillaceae.